CAGUCGCCGCGGGAAUACGUAGGGUGCGAGCGUUAAUCGGAAUUACUGGGCGUAAAGCGUGCGCAGGCGGUUGUGUAAGACAGGUGUGAAAUCCCCGGGCUUAACCUGGGAACUGCGCUUGUGACUGCACAGCUAGAGUAUGGCAGAGGGGGGGUGGAAUUCCACGUGUAGCAGUGAAAUGCGUAGAGAUGUGGAGGAACACCGAUGGCGAAGGCAGCCCCCUGGGCCAAUACUGACGCCCAUGCACGAAAGCGUGGGGAGCAAACAGGAUUAGAUACCCCUGUAGUCCCUGUCUCUUAUA
RNAcentral lists this ribosomal RNA (301 nucleotides) under uncultured bacterium. RNAcentral describes it as "partial 16S ribosomal RNA". It matches the Rfam family "Bacterial small subunit ribosomal RNA", at positions 509 to 808 of the family's 1533-position model. The record is from RNAcentral.